GCACAUACUUUUCUGCCAAGUGCUGGAUAACUGUAACAUCAGCACAGGUACAGGUUUAUAGCAAAAAAACAGCUAAAAUUUCACUGAAAAAUAGACAGAAGAAAAUAUGAUAACCGUUCAGACACCACGACUGGCUUGAGAGCUUCUAUGAUAUAAAAUUGAGGAUUCAUUCUAUCAACAUCACAGCACUGGAUGCUUUGCUGCUUUGAGAUCAUGACCUCUGCUCUGCUAUAAAUGUCAGGACUGACUACAGUCAAAUAAGAGGAUUUAGUUUAAUAAAAACAUCAAAGAAAAGAGUAAAAAGCAUUACUUUUUGCCUAGAAACUAGGCACAGAGAUGACAUAACUCAGGACACUUCUGAGAGAAACGUGCAUUCAGCAGCUGAGGAAUGAUUUUCUGUAGAUGCUCCUACACUUCAGAGGCUGUCAAAAAUACUACCAGAGUGAGUUUGUGUCAGCAUAAAAUCGGAAACAUUAUUAUAUAUUGACUGGGCUAGUGCAAUGAGCAAAAUGCUGUGCACCUGAAACUGAACAAGAGUGUGAGACCAUGGUGACAAGUACGCUAUAAUGGUUUUGUUCUGAGAAAUGUAUUCUAUCUAGAACUGGAAAAUCAGAGCUGUUCACCAGCUCUCAAACAGAGAACUGACCAUCUUUUUUGACAUCAUUACGAAUGCUAUUGAGUGAAAGUCAAUCCCAGUCCAUGUGAAGUAAGCUUAACAGAGAAACUAGUAAACAAAAACAUCCACAUAUACUGUAGAGAACAAAAGCAUAACUUUAAACAGAUGACAAAGCUGUAUUGCUGCUGGGAACAUCUUCAUUCUGCAAAUAAUUGCUUCUGAACCAUUACUGCAGUCACUGUUGGAAGGUAUACAAAGGACAGCCUUCCUUUUGACUACGGUGGGAGUUCCUUCCUUUCAUGCCAGUGAAAUGGAGGUCGGUGUUUAGAAGAAAUAAUAAAAUAAAUGGAAAAGGAGGUGAUAAUGAUGUUUCUCUUUGCUAAACAAAGCAGAGUGCACUAAGGGCAAGAGUAUUCAAUUAGCCGAGCAUAUCUGACACAAAAAUAUUUCACACAAUGCAAGAAAAACAAGAAAGUAAACACUUUCUGGAGAUGAUAUUGGACACAAAACAGCAAGUGGAUAUGCUGCUGGCAAACAAAUGCCAAGCAGAGGUUGUUCUAGAAACUAAACACCAGCUGGAAGUGUCAUUGGAAACCAAACACCAGUGGGAGGUGAUACUGGAAAAUAAGCAACAGGUAGAAAUGGUGCUGGCAAUGAAACAUCAUGUAGUGGUAGUAGAAAUCAGAAACCAAGUGGAGGUGAUAGUGCAGUCCAAACGUCAGGGAGAGCUGAAACUGGAAAUCAUUCACAAAGAGGAGAUGAUAUGGAAACUAAACAAUGGGAGAAGAAAUAAACAGUGGAAACUGAAACACAAAAACAGAAAGCCAAGACUUAUGCACUUGUGAUGUCUACAACUUCAUUUAAGCUUCACAAACAAUUCUCGUCACUUGGUAAUCAUCCUACAAACAAAUUUCAAUGAGCUUGCCUCUUUUGCAUUCACUUCCUUCCUUGGAUGGACAGAGAAAUAAUGGUGACAUCAUGUCUGCAUAUGCUUUAUAUUUUGUAAUGUUACCUUGACAAAAGCAAGUGUGCCUGAAUUAAAACCGAAUGCUAAUAUUCUUCUGGAUAGUGACAUAAAUAUGCAUAAUAUAUACAAAACUGAUAAGAGCUCCAGCAAAGAAAAUUAUUUUUUUUCUUUAAAGGAAAUAUAUGCUUUCAUCCCAACAAUAACUUAUCAACCACAGUAGAUUACAUUGUGAAUGUAAUGCAUUUAAGCCCUAGGUCUGAGGAUUAUGACUAUGAUAUUUUAUAGUAUUUCAUCAGCUGUGAUGAUGAUGUCUUAUGCAAGUAAAAAUAUCUUAUGCUGAAGGGAGUUUACCAAGUGCCAUUUGAAUUUGGACAAAGGAUGACAGUAUAGCAAGGGACCAUCUUGUUUCCUGAAAGAGGGAAAUUGAUUUUGUUGUGUAUCAUCAUCAUCUUCAACCCCACCCCUUUUUCCUAUUUUCUACAUGAGGUUGGGGUGGCAUGACAAAUAUCGCCAUUUCUCUCUAUUCAAUGCCACUCUCCUACCUUCUUCAGCACUCAUGGUUGACUGUCGCAGGUCUUCUCUCACUCAGUCCAUCCACCUCUUUGAUGGAUGCCCUCGUUCCUUCUUAACCUUCCUGUCUGUUCCAAAUCUUCUUCACCAGAGUGCCUUUACUUUUCAGAACAUGUGCCUGAACUACUGUAAUCUGUUCUCUUUGAUCUUUUCUCCAAUUGGAGCUACUAUGGCAUCUGCUCUUAUGUCCUCAUUUCUUAGUCUGUCCCGCAGUGUGCAUCCUUUGCUGAAGUUCAUACUCAGGGUCUGCCUCUAAUGCCACACUGUCUGCAUACAGCAACUUUGUUGGGCUGUCCCCUCCACCAUGUUUUUUAAUGUAGUCCAUCACCAGUAUGAACAGCAGUGGGCUCAGAGCUGAAUGCUGAUGCACACCCACUCCCAUUGGCAACCCUACUGUGAGAUCAAACACCAUUCAUACUUCAGUCAUUGAGUCCAUGUACACAGCUUGCACUAAUUCUAUCAAUGUUUCUGUGACUUCAAAGCACCACAGGAAUGCCCAA
Molecule: long non-coding RNA, 2653 nt
Organism: Protopterus annectens (West African lungfish)
Lineage: Eukaryota; Metazoa; Chordata; Ceratodontiformes; Protopteridae
Exons: 3
Source: RefSeq, a predicted model, not a curated record